AUUUAAAUAGUUUAUAAAAUACUAAUUUGUGGCAUUAGAGAUGGUGGUUAAAUUCACCUUUAAGUC
RNAcentral lists this transfer RNA (66 nucleotides) under Cucumaria frondosa. RNAcentral's name for it is "tRNA-His". It matches the Rfam family "tRNA". From Rfam's summary of the family: Transfer RNA (tRNA) molecules are approximately 80 nucleotides in length. Their secondary structure includes four short double-helical elements and three loops (D, anti-codon, and T loops). Lineage: Eukaryota; Metazoa; Echinodermata; Holothuroidea; Dendrochirotida; Cucumariidae. The record is from RNAcentral.